CCCAUUUUGAGUCAAUUGCUUUCUUUCAUUUUGGUAGUGCAGUUAGUUCCCAAGUAUUAUGUCUUCUAGUGCGGACAGCUCAGCUUACAUGACCUUAACCCACUUGCUAUCCUUUUUAGAUCCCUGUAUGACAUUUGUUCCUUCGUAAUAGACACUUGUACAACGAAAUUAACAUAGCCAUGAUUGUAUUCAAGUGAGGUGGACAUGAAGAAGGGAGGUUUGGGCACAGGUUGUUCAGUGAUAUGGGCAAUAAAGUCUUCCAUGCAGGCGGGCCUGCUUCUCACCCUGGUGCUCCUCCUCGUUUUAGACUCUUGGGGGAUGAUGUUUGGUAAGGGAAUUUCUUCUCUACUUUGUAACAGGUUUUCGGGUGUGGUUGCUGUGUCGAUGCUUGAUAUUGGUAGUGGUGUAUCAUGAUAAUCUGGUUUAGGGUGUUGUGUUUGGUAUGGAUGAAUAUGUUCAUGUAAUAUGAC
Molecule: long non-coding RNA, 470 nt
Filed under: Carica papaya (papaya)
Lineage: Eukaryota; Viridiplantae; Streptophyta; Magnoliopsida; Brassicales; Caricaceae
Description: long non-coding RNA (CPAP_LNC011724)
Source: RNAcentral